UCUUAGGGAUGCUAGGGUUCCGGUUCGUCACGCGAACGUCUGGUCCGAGAGCAGCCCGGUGCGCCCGCGAAGCGAAAUCCGCAGUCGAUGCUUCGCAGGCCGCACUACACGGCGGGACAAAAGCCCGGGAGAU
Molecule: small RNA, 133 nt
Filed under: Paraburkholderia sp.
Lineage: Bacteria; Pseudomonadati; Pseudomonadota; Betaproteobacteria; Burkholderiales; Burkholderiaceae
Description: Guanidine-I sequence
Rfam family: Guanidine-I riboswitch aptamer
About the family: This family represents a conserved RNA structure found upstream of the ykkC and yxkD genes in Bacillus subtilis and related genes in other bacteria. The function of this family is unclear although it has been suggested that it may function to switch on efflux pumps and detoxification systems in response to harmful environmental molecules. Nelson showed that this riboswitch senses and responds to guanidine and it was renamed Guanidine-I riboswitch.
Source: RNAcentral